Molecule: non-coding RNA, 94 nt
Filed under: Cellulophaga lytica
Lineage: Bacteria; Pseudomonadati; Bacteroidota; Flavobacteriia; Flavobacteriales; Flavobacteriaceae
Also listed under: 1 other name
Description: TPP sequence
Rfam family: TPP riboswitch aptamer (THI element)
About the family: Vitamin B(1) in its active form thiamin pyrophosphate (TPP) is an essential coenzyme that is synthesised by coupling of pyrimidine and thiazole moieties in bacteria. The previously detected thiamin-regulatory element, thi box was extended, resulting in a new, highly conserved RNA secondary structure, the THI element, which is widely distributed in eubacteria and also occurs in some archaea.
Source: RNAcentral
UGUAAACUUUAGGGGUGUUCUUUUUAAGAACUGAGAAAUACCCUUUGAACCUGAUGCUGUUAGUACAGCCGAAGGGAAAAGUUGAAUUCUUUUU